This 1851-nucleotide ribosomal RNA is filed under the name Candidatus Saccharimonadota bacterium. RNAcentral describes it as "partial 23S ribosomal RNA". It matches the Rfam family "Bacterial large subunit ribosomal RNA", at positions 1273 to 2925 of the family's 2925-position model. The record is from RNAcentral. Lineage: Bacteria; Candidatus Saccharimonadota.
GUGGAGCGUUAGGAAGUGAGAAUGCUGGAAUGAGUAACAACAAGGCAGGUGAGAAUCCUGCCCACCGAAAGAGCAAGGUUUCCUGGGCCACGGUAAUCGUCCCAGGGUUAGUCGGUCCUAAGCCGAGGCAAGUAGCGUAGGCGAUGGACAACAGGUUAAUAUUCCUGUACUGGCUAUAGAUUGUUUAUUGUGCGCGGUAUGAUAGCAAGAGCGGAUUCAUGGUUAUAUCCGUCUAACACAUCUAACGGGUGUGGAAUGAAAGAUUGUCUUCGGAUAAUCGAUUCUUGUCAAAGUGCUGACCAGAAAAGCAUAUAAACGCGUGUCUAUAGUCAUCCGUACCGCAAACCGACACAGGUGCUCAGGUCGAGAAGACCAAGGUGAGCGAGUGAAUCUUCGUUAAGGAACUCGGCAAAAAAGCGACCGUAACCUCGGGAUAAGGUCUGCCCCGUCACAAUGUUUAUGACAUGUGACUACGCCAGUUUUCUUUUAGAAAACAUCGGUAGAGAUUUUAGUUUUAAGCAUUCUAAAAUUGAAGCCGAAUCGAGAAAUAUUGAGAAAGAAAGCUGACUCUGUUAGCAAUUCAUGACACUGCACUUAUUACCCGAAAGGGAAAAAGAGCAGCCGGCACGUCGGAUUCAUUCCGUACGUUCCGCGCGUCAAGAAAAAACCGUAGGUUUUGUCUUGAGAAACGCAGUCGUAGAUAUUGUGACGGGGCCGCAGCGAAAGAACCCAAGCAACUGUUUACCAAAAACAUAGGUCUCUGCAAACACGAAAGUGGAAGUAUAGGGGCUGACGCCUGCCCGGUGCUGGAAGGUUAAGGGGAUGACUUCACGGUCUGAACUGAAGCCCCAGUGAACGGCGGCCGUAACUAUAACGGUCCUAAGGUAGCGAAAUUCCUUGUCAGGUAAGUUCUGACCCGCACGAAUGGCAUAACGAUCUGAGCACUGUCUCAAGCAUAGACCCGGUGAAAUUGCAAUGUCGGUAAAAAUGCCGACUACUUACAGGAAGACGGAAAGACCCUAUGGAGCUUUACUAUAAUUUGGCACUGAGUAAUUCAUGUGCGUGUGCAGGAUAGGUGGGAGGCUUUGAUGGUACGGCGCCAGCUGUACUGGAGCCAUCCUUGAGAUACCACCCUUGUACAUGGGUUACUCUAACUCACGUUUGGUGAGGACAGUGCUUGAUGGGUAGUUUAACUGGGGCGGUUGCCUCCUAAAGAGUAACGGAGGCGUUCAAAGGUAAGCUUAGUCCGGAUGGAAAUCGUGCCGAUAGUGCAUACGCAUAAGUCAGCUUGACUGUGAGGCCAACAAGCCAAUCAGGGACGAAAGUCGGAGUAAGUGACCCGCUGUACUAAUCUUCGGAUUUAAGUAUGUGGGAACGACAGCGCAAACGGAUAAAAGUUACCCUAGGGAUAACAGGCUUAUCGGGCCCAAUAGUUCACAUAGACGGGCCGGUUUGGCACCUCGAUGUCGGCUCAUCACAUCCUGGAGGGGGAGCACCUUCCAAGGGUAUGGCUGUUCGCCAUUUAAAGUGGUACGUGAGCUGGGUUCAGAACGUCGUGAGACAGUUCGGUUUAUAUCCGCUGUGGACGUCAGGAAAAUUGAGAGGAUUUGCCCCUAGUACGAGAGGACCGGGGUGAACGCACCGCUGGUGUAUGGGUUGUUGUACCAACAGCAUUGCCCAGUAGCUAUGUGCGGGAUAGAUAAGCGCUGAAAGCAUAUUAAGCGCGAAACUAGCCUCAAGAUAAGUUUUCCCUAUGAUCCCCCUGAAAGACGAUCAGGUUGAUAGGCGCAAGGUAGAAGCAUGGUGACAUGUGUAGCUAAAGCGUACUAAUCGGGACAUUGGUUUUUUAUG